CGAAGGUCCCAAGCGUUAUCCGGAUUUAUUGGGUUUAAAGGGUGCGUAGGCGGGUUAUUAAGUCAGUGGUGAAAGCUCCAUGCCUAACAUGGAAAUUGCCAUUGAUACUGAUGAUCUUGAGUACAUUUGAAGUGGGCGGAAUGUGUCAUGUAGCGGUGAAAUGCUUAGAUAUGACACAGAACACCGAUUGCGUAGGCAGCUCACUAAACUGUAACUGACGCUGAGGCACGAAAGCGUGGGGAGCGAACAGGAUUAGAUACCCUGGUAGUCCACGCCCUAAACGAUGUUCACUCGAUGUGUGCGAUACACUGUACGCGUCCAAGCGAAAGCAAUAAGUGGACCACCUGGGGAGUACGGCCGCAAGGCUG
Molecule: ribosomal RNA, 368 nt
Filed under: uncultured organism
Description: bacterial SSU rRNA
Rfam family: Bacterial small subunit ribosomal RNA
Source: RNAcentral